Molecule: long non-coding RNA, 373 nt
Filed under: Bos taurus (domestic cattle)
Lineage: Eukaryota; Metazoa; Chordata; Mammalia; Artiodactyla; Bovidae
Description: long non-coding RNA NONBTAT026913
Source: RNAcentral
UUUAAGUCCCUUCAUUGACUGACAAACAAUCAGACUGCUUACUAGCUGCUGCUUAUCUUUUCCCUCCAUUAACAUCUCCCCAAAAGUAAACUAUUUGAAUAUUACAGUCACCUUGACAACAGAGGUGUCUAUUUUAAUAGCUUUCAGUAACAUUAUUCAAAGGGAAUCUAUUUUCCAAUAAAGUCUUUGGCAUUCUCUUUCUCUUCCAACCUCAAAGAGUUUAGGAUGAAACAUGUGCUUUGAAAUUAAAAUCACUGUAAAUUCGCUGAGUAAGAGAAUGUUUUCAUUUAGCAUAAUGUAGAAAAAAAAUUUUUUUUCUCUUGUAACGUACAUGAAAAAAUUUCACCAACAAAAAGGCAUGGCUCAAAUUUUA